RNAcentral lists this long non-coding RNA (291 nucleotides) under Homo sapiens (human). RNAcentral describes it as "HSALNT0364605". Lineage: Eukaryota; Metazoa; Chordata; Mammalia; Primates; Hominidae. The record is from RNAcentral.
GAACAAAGACCCUCCGGUCUCGCAUGGUUCUGAACACAUAGUAAAUGCUGAAUUACUAUUUCCUAAAUUAUCAUAAAGCUGAGAAGAAUCAUGAUUCUCAAACUUCACCUUGGAAUUAAAAUGGAUUUCCUUGAGAAGCACAUAUGAGGUAAGCAGACCUCUCCUGUGAUGUUCUGGAUAUGCCUGUCUCAACAGAUUUCAGGGUGGCCGUCUUCUCUGCAAAUUCAGUUCUCUGAUGUGUCCAAGCUGAAGAAGCAAUUCAUCACUCCAUCAACUGGUUUUACUGAAUCG